Bubalus bubalis (water buffalo) is the source of this 3794-nucleotide long non-coding RNA. RefSeq lists it as uncharacterized. The record is from RefSeq and is a predicted model, not a curated record. Lineage: Eukaryota; Metazoa; Chordata; Mammalia; Artiodactyla; Bovidae. The transcript is spliced from 4 exons.
CUAACACUGCAUUGGAAAGCAACUAUAGGCCAAUACAAUUAAUUUAAAAAGAAAAGAAAUAAAACCGCAAGAGGCAUCCUGAUCAUCUCGUCAUCCCCAUGAUGAUACUCACUGCCCUGAGAAUGAAGACCCAGGCCUACUGUCCAGCCACCUUGCCCGGCCCCUCACGCGGUCUUGUGCUCUGGCUGCGGUCAUCCCUGAAGCGAGUCCCUCGGCCAGGGCAGGUCCCCGUGUGCCCGUUCUCUCCCGUCCGCCAGGCUGGCUGGGCAUCAGUCACGUGUGGCUCCUCCCAGGACAGGCAUCUGCUCCUCAGGGUGCCCGCACCCCCGUGUUUGUCCCUGGCGGCACCCAGGGAACGCUGUGUUGACCGUGGCGCGUCAUGUGCCCACCGGUCACCUGGCUCCGUGCCUGUGUGGAUGCCCAGGGCAGACCUGCACACACCUGUGCUGGGCACACAGGAGCUCCCAAUGGGGGUAACUCCGGGUUACUGUAGGGCUCUAAAGAGAAGCUGCAAGUGAGAGAAAAGAUGCUUGGUCCACGCUCACGGACGUCACCUGUGAAGGGUUAAAAAGUCACCUGCGGGGAGAUGACCCCCGUGCGCCGUCCUCCCCGAGGCAGUCGAGCUGCCGGCGGAAACAGGCCGAUCCAGAGACUUCCGCGUGGGAGCCGCACACGCGUGGUGACGUCACGGGCCAGGCGUGACGCGAGGGGACGUCACGGGUGGGGGGCGGGGCUUGAGCGUGCGUGCGCGUCGCCGGGUGUCCCGGGCCUCACCUCCAGCCUCGUGAACGUCUGGGUUGUUCUCGGAGGCCGGUCUUCAGAGGACCUUCUCCUUAGAGGUCGCGGCACGAGACGUUCAUCAGCAUUUCCCGCACUUUGAAAAAAUGGCUUCCUUCCAGCCAGUGACGACGGCCCCGCAGGUGAGGUCCCCUCUAAUGUGAACAUAGAAGCGUCCUGUAAUCAUCAAAGCAGAGAAAAACACCUAAGAAAUCACCACGGGUACAGCUGUGUUAACCCAGCUGCGGACGUUGCUGGAUGUCACUGGCUUGGAUGUAGUGGGGACAAGAUGUGAGGCUCGUGCGCGGCUCAGAUUCUAGGAGCAGAAUGUGGUCCUCACGCUGGAAGGUGACUGCCCGUCCUCUGUGCCUCCAGCCCCGCGGCAGAGCUGCAGACCCCUUCUCCUGCUGCUGCGGUCUGCGAGCCAGAGGCGCUGGAGACGUGGGCCUCAUCUGCCCCCAGGAUGGUCGCACUGAGGUCGCCACAAAGGGGGUGGUCGGUGGAAACCUCGGAGAAGUCAAGAGAAGCAGCAAAGGAAUGAAAUCUUCUGUAGGAAUUUAAGUGUUUAUAGAAAUUUAGAGUUUUCCAUAAACAUGUAAACACAAGUACGUUGAUGCAGACUUACUGGGUACAGCAGCCCUGUUGCUUCUCCCGGGGCGGGUCACAGGGCUUUAUGGGCGAUAAAUCUCACAGCUGCGUGCCCCUCGGCCUCGCUUGCUCCACCACUGCACCGGAUAAACCAUGAGUCGGCCUGGAGUCGGGCCAGGCCGAGCAUCCCCUCCCUUGGUGUGGCCUCUCCUCUUCGAUCGUGCAGAAGGGUCAGGAGCCCCCCGCCCCCUCCGUGUGCUAGAAUUGAACCCUAUUUAAAGACUAUUUGAUAAAAAAUGAAAUCAACAGAACUUCUCCAGUGGUGUAGCAGAUAAGAAUCUGCCUGCCAGUGUUCAGUCCCUGGUCUGGGAGGAUCCCACAUGCCUCGGAGCAACUAAGCCUGCGCACCGCAACUGCUGAAGCCCCCGUGCCUAGAGCCUGUGCUCCGCAGCAAGAAAGGUCACCACAGCGAGGAGCCCGAGCGCUGAAACAGGGUGGCCCUGCCUGCGGCAGCCGGCACGCCCGAGUGCAGCAGUGAAGACGCAGCCCGGCCGCAAGUAAAUGCAGUGAGAAAAGAGCUGAGCAUCUUAAACAACGAAACAAACAAAGCCCCCGAGCCAGAGCACUGGGACACCGCCUCUGUUUCUUAGCACCCUGCGGCUUUAACACUGUUUCCUUUCUCGAGACCUAAGCAGCUGAGUGAAACUUCCGCAACAGCACGGCUGACCAUUACAGCCACACUGAGUGGUGGUUCUAUACUCCGAUAGUUUCCUUAAUAGUAAUUACAUUGAACGUGCCGUGUAAUUCGAAGUUUAUUUGCCAGGCAACUUUUGUAUUUCAUCGAAACGAUGUGACUUACACAGCAAAGGUAAUUAUCUUAUGAUUAUGAGGCUUUGACCCUGAACUGGGCCUUAAUAAUUACUUGCAGUUUCUGAUGUAAUUAAAUCAUGAGCCAGAUCUUGCCUGGCCGGCAGGCAACUAACAGCAGGCACAUAAGGACCGAACCGCAGGGGCAUGGCGAUAAAACCCUGCGCGCGGGCUCUGGCAGCCACGUGUGAGCAGAGCUACUCCCGGGACCCUUACUGGCCACUGAGCCAUGACUGGCAACCACUCUGCUGCGUGCUCGGAGUGUUUUGAAUCUGCCCACGUCUAUUUGGAGCUCAUGGAAGGUCAGCAGCACAUGAGGGAUGGGCCUUAGCCAUGGACCUGACAUCCAGACAGCACCACCAUGUCUCCCCAUGGAUUGCUCAGGACUGGGGACAUGGCCCCGCUUUGGACAGUGACACUUAGAAUUUGCUGGGGGCUGCGGGGCAAGCUCUUUCUCUCCUAAGACUCAAGGAAAAUCUCGCCUCCUGUGGUGGCGUCUUCCAGAGGGGGAAGUACGGAGCCCAGGUCACUGCGGGGACCCCCUGACCUGAAGCUGAGCCUGGGGCGCCGCCUCGUGGGAGGGAGGCCGUCGGGCUCCUGAUGCUGUCACUGGGCCCUCGGAUGGACCUUCAGAGCCCAGCUGACUGUGGCAGGCUGAGUUUCCUGUUCCGUGGAGGUGAAGGCGCAGCCGCUGAUGUUGGUGAUGUGUGGCCGUUUCUCCGGCAGCUUCCCGUGGUAGAAACGUCCCGUCUGUUCUCCAGCCUCCUGUUGCCUGCUGAGUGAUUUCUGGCCGGUCCCAGCUUCCCCUGAACUGUGAGUGGAAAGAGACCCACACUACUGACAACCGUCAAAUCAAGUGACCCGGAGGGACACUUGCAGAGAGGCGGUUCCGCUUGAACAUCUGGAAGCUCACGGUUCACGUACUGCUGAAGUGGUGCGCGGUGCAGGAGUGGCUGAGAGGAGGACCCCACGUCCCAGGUCAGGAGCGGCAGCCGAGAGGAACCCACUGGUCAUAACAAACACCCUCUUCCAACAACACAAGAGAAGACUCUACACGUGGACAUCACCAGAUGGUCAACACCGAAAUCAGAUUGAUUAUAUUCUUUGCAACCAAAGAUGGAGAUUAUGUCACAGUAUGACUUUAUAAGACAUCCGGGUUGUGAAACGGUCAGAGGAAACGCAAGCUCACCUGUGUGUGCUGUGCUCGGUGACAGCAGACGGCAGCAUUCGGUAGUCAGGCGCCUGUGAUUUUAACCGAGUGGAACUGUUUCGUGCAGAGUUCAGUUACUUCUGUCAUUUCUCACGUCCGUAUCCUUCUGGAGUCCUCUCUGGGUCCUCCUACGACAAUAUUAUUAAAAACACGAUGUGUAUAAUUUCAUAACACUCUCCAUGCUACUUAAUAAUAAUUAGCACAUAUUUUGGCAUAUGUGCUUUUCUGUUCAUUGUUUUAUAUCAAUUUAUAUUAUAUUUCCCUGUAUCUUGAUUUUUAAAAAUACUUAUAUAUUUCAUAUAAUAAAUGCAUGAUAGAUAAUCAAAUAAUAAACCCAGUAAUCCCUCCAGGU